This is a small nucleolar RNA of Spea bombifrons (plains spadefoot toad), 306 nucleotides long. The record is from RefSeq and is a predicted model, not a curated record. Lineage: Eukaryota; Metazoa; Chordata; Amphibia; Anura; Pelobatidae.
GUCAAGUGAUGAGUCCAAGGCAAAUGUGACUCCCUUCCUCUUGGUUCGACCUCUGACCUCUUGCUCUCGGUCUGUAAUCUUGGUGGCAGUAUAGAAGCUUCUUGCUGCCGCUGUAAGGCCAGACCCACAUCAGCUUCUCAGGCUGGUCUCCACUGUACUUUUUUCUGUCCACUGGAGUGUGAGUGGUACAGAAAUCAGUGGUGACCUACAGUAUGUUUCGAUACCGCAGAGUAGUGGUCAGCGGUUGUGACUCUUAAUGGAGGCUAAAGGGUGGUAUGAGCACGUAUCUUUGGUAAUCUGAUGUCA